This is a long non-coding RNA of Ruditapes philippinarum (Manila clam), 1510 nucleotides long. RefSeq lists it as uncharacterized. NCBI's taxonomy places the organism in Eukaryota, Metazoa, Mollusca, Bivalvia, Venerida, Veneridae. The transcript is spliced from 3 exons. The record is from RefSeq and is a predicted model, not a curated record.
UUUUUUAUAAAAGGAAUGCCGAGUUCCGUAAAAUUUAAUCUAGACAUAUAUUAUGUAAUACAUAAAGACAUGAACCCUGCAAUAAGUUCUUCUAAAAGACCAAUUUUCCGUCCCUUCAUUACUCUAUAAUGUAAGUGAACAGAGGGCUACGCGUUCAGCGCAGUAAUCCUAUCGGUAUCACUACAAUGUGAUGUAAUUAAACGUUCCUGACGUGUUAUUUACUAUCUGAAACGAAUUUAGCGGGCUUUAUCACCGCUAUCUCACCGUCAUGGAAAAUUUGAUGUUCAGAAGUACACUAUAUGUAUUUGUUAUAAUGUGGUAGAGUGUUAUUGAUUUAUAAUCAAAAGGAUUGCACUUAAAUUGAGCGAGUGAUUAUGUGAUCAUCAGAAGCAAAACAACGAUAAAGGAUCUUUAAUGUGAAGAAACAGACCUAUAGAAGAAAUCACCAAAAUAUCACACUAUGCCUAGUUUAUAUGAUGUGAACGAUAAUGUUAUUGAUUGCCAGACAAUCUUCAUUUCAACGUGUUUUGCUUAUCUAUUUUUGUUGUUUUAUUUUUAGCAAUUAACUAACAUAUAUUGAACAAUAGGUUACACAUGUAUCGUACUGAAAAAGUAAAUGACGACGGAAUUUUCAUUUUUGAAUAGCUAAAAAUAGAAGAUAAAAGAUGAUUAAAUAGGCGAUGUUUAAUAAGUGUAGUAUUUUUUUUUUCAUUUCGCGACAAGUGAAAUAUCAGAACUUUCAUACCACACUUGUAUUUGUAGAACAAAACUUGAGUUUUCACUUUAUUACAUUUUGAUUUGGCUGACUUUAGAAGAAUGUAGCCAGGAAAGACACCAGUGACAAAACGGAAAUAUAUCUUACUGCUGCAGUGAAAAAUAAAUUAUUUAAGUAAAAAACAAAAACUGAAAAUAAAUUACUCAUUUUUAUGUUAUAAAUAUUUUUCAGUAUUAUAGAAGUUAUUUUAAGGAUAUUAAAUAAUAAUAAUGAAAACGUAAAUCAAGUUUUUUAAUGUCUGAAAUUUCGUGAUUAAUUUCAUCGAGUGAUAUGGAAAAAAAAUCACCAGUUGUUGUAGACACGUAAUAUAUAAUUAUAUAGAAAAAUAAUGAAUUUUCUACUUAUUAUAUUCUUUUUCUCUGUUUUAAAAUGAUAACAGCUAUGACAGCGCUCUUUUUAUUUAUUUUUAAUAUGCACAUUGACGACAGUAGUUACUCCACCAGUAAAAAGUAUGUUACACUGCAGUAAAAGAGAACUUAUUCAGAGAAAAAUAUGGAAAAUGAAAAUACGCAAUUCAUUUCAUCCAUAUUUUUGCAUAUUUUACUCAUAUAUGUAAAAUAAAAACAUACUUUACGCUACAUUUAUAGUAAAGUAUAAACAUUAGAAUAAGAUCAACAGGCUUAUCGAUUUUUUCAGUUUUCUAUUUUACUUAAAGAAUCAAACGUGCACGGUUAUUUGGUAAAAGUAUAUAUGCUCUUAAGAAUAAGAUGUCAUGAACUAUUCAUCAGAUUUAUA